Molecule: small RNA, 920 nt
Filed under: Arabidopsis thaliana (thale cress)
Lineage: Eukaryota; Viridiplantae; Streptophyta; Magnoliopsida; Brassicales; Brassicaceae
Description: ATSL053000
Source: RNAcentral
UUUUUUUUUUGUAAACAGCAAAUAGAUGCUUUAGACAGCAAAUUUUAUAUGUAUUUUAAAGGACAUCAAAUUUUAUGGAACGUCUUAUAAUCUAUUGGUUUUCUGUGCUUUGAAGGUAGAAAGUGAUUGGUUCGAUCCUUGGUAAUCGAAAAUAUUAAAACAGUUUUCUAUUUUUAUUUGUUGUAAAUGGACAUCAAAUUUUGUUGAGCUUUAAACAUGAUUAGUCUUUGGACCGACUCUGACCACGAAUGACAAAUUCAAAAAUCAUAAUCAAGUAGGCUAUGUGUCAAGCAACUACAAUUACCCCGCAUGUCAAAGCCUACUUUGAGAUGAAUAUAAACCACAGCAUGAUGAUGAAAACCAUCGCUAUCCACAAGCUUGCGGUGUCUUGAAGGCCGGCCGGAACAUAAAACCCAGCAAAUAGAUGCUUUUUUUUUUUUUUUUGUAAACAGCAAAUAGAUGCUUUAGACAGCAAAUUUUAUAUAUAUUUUAAAAGACAUCAAAUUUUAUGAAACGUCUUAUAAUCUAUUGGUUUUCUGUGCUUUGAAGGUAGAAAGUGAUUGGUUCGAUCCUUGGUAAUCGAAAAUAUUAAAACAAUUUUCUAUUUUUAUUUGUUGUAAAUGGACAUCAAAUUUUGUUGAGCUUUAAACAUGAUUAGUCUUUGGACCGACUCUGACCACGAAUGACAAAUUCAAAAAUCAUAAUCAAGUAGGCUAUGUGUCAAGCAACUACAAUUACCCCGCAUGUCAAAGCCCAUUUCCAUAAACAAGCCGUCACAACAAAAACGCCAACUAUCAAGAUUGCUUCCAAAGCGAUCAAAAGAUUCCUCCAUGCCGAUUGAAAAGUUAUUCUUUCAUCUUAUUUAUCAGAACUGAAAUAUAGAUAUAACCGGUUUGGAUCCUCUAUUUGUACGCUCACAA